AACGAACGCUGGCGGCAUGCCUAACACAUGCAAGUCGAACGAGACCUUCGGGUCUAGUGGCGCACGGGUGCGUAACGCGUGGGAACCUGCCCUUAGGUUCGGAAUAACUCCCCGAAAGGGGUGCUAAUACCGGAUAAUGUCUUCGGACCAAAGAUUUAUCGCCCUUGGAUGGGCCCGCGUUGGAUUAGCUAGUUGGUAGGGUAAAAGCUUACCAAGGCGACGAUCCAUAGCUGGUCUGAGAGGAUGAUCAGCAACACUGGGACUGAGACACGGCCCAGACUCCUACGGGAGGGAGCAGGGGGGAAUAUGGGACACUGGGCGAAAGCCUGAGCCAGCAAUGCCGCGUGAGUGAUGAAGGCGUGAGGGUUGUAAAGCUCUUUUACCCGGGAUGAUAAGGACAGUACCGGGAGAAUAAGCACCGGCUAACUCCGU
RNAcentral lists this ribosomal RNA (432 nucleotides) under uncultured bacterium. RNAcentral describes it as "partial 16S ribosomal RNA". It matches the Rfam family "Bacterial small subunit ribosomal RNA", at positions 29 to 506 of the family's 1533-position model. The record is from RNAcentral.